RNAcentral lists this ribosomal RNA (456 nucleotides) under Penicillium sp. T11-SDA-84. RNAcentral describes it as "eukaryotic LSU rRNA". The stretch from base 103 to 256 matches the Rfam family "5.8S ribosomal RNA". The record is from RNAcentral. Lineage: Eukaryota; Fungi; Ascomycota; Eurotiomycetes; Eurotiales; Aspergillaceae.
GUUGCCCGAACCUAUGUUGCCUCGGCGGGCCCCGCGCCCGCCGACGGCCCCCCUGAACGCUGUCUGAAGUUGCAGUCUGAGACCUAUAACGAAAUUAGUUAAAACUUUCAACAACGGAUCUCUUGGUUCCGGCAUCGAUGAAGAACGCAGCGAAAUGCGAUAACUAAUGUGAAUUGCAGAAUUCAGUGAAUCAUCGAGUCUUUGAACGCACAUUGCGCCCUCUGGUAUUCCGGAGGGCAUGCCUGUCCGAGCGUCAUUGCUGCCCUCAAGCCCGGCUUGUGUGUUGGGCCCCGUCCCCCCCGCCGGGGGGACGGGCCCGAAAGGCAGCGGCGGCACCGCGUCCGGUCCUCGAGCGUAUGGGGCUUCGUCACCCGCUCUAGUAGGCCCGGCCGGCGCCAGCCGACCCCCAACCUUUAAUUAUCUCAGGUUGACCUCGGAUCAGGUAGGGAUACCCGC